UCCCGAGUCGUCUAAGGGCAGGACGUCACCCUUUGGUGGUGAUUAUAGGGGUUCGAAUCCUCUCUCGGGAGC
This 72-nucleotide transfer RNA is filed under the name Actinoplanes digitatis. RNAcentral's name for it is "tRNA-Gln". It matches the Rfam family "tRNA". Rfam says of the family: Transfer RNA (tRNA) molecules are approximately 80 nucleotides in length. Their secondary structure includes four short double-helical elements and three loops (D, anti-codon, and T loops). The record is from RNAcentral. Lineage: Bacteria; Bacillati; Actinomycetota; Actinomycetes; Micromonosporales; Micromonosporaceae.